This is a non-coding RNA of Pelobates cultripes (western spadefoot toad), 322 nucleotides long. The record is from the annotation of a GenBank genome assembly. NCBI's taxonomy places the organism in Eukaryota, Metazoa, Chordata, Amphibia, Anura, Pelobatidae.
GACAGUUUCAGUUUAUGUAUGUGACAUUAACUUAUCCAACGCAAGUCAUAGUGAUUCAUAUUUUAUUGCACGGCUGUCAAAAAGCUCCUGAAUUCUUCACUUUGCUGAACAGUUAUAUGGAGACAAAUAAAUGUGAUUCGUAUGGAGAUUCACCUGUAAUUCAGGAAAAAGAUUUUCAUGAAAGCAUAAAAUCCCAAAGGGUUAUUGUUUAUGUAUAAAAUGUGUACUGCUGAAUAUUUGUAUAUCAUACUAUGCAAUAAUACAUUAUUUAUAUGAAUUAAUGCAUGCGGUGAUCCCCAGCUGUUGUAGGACUACUACUUCC